CCGUAAGGAGAGCGGGAGCCGGGAAUGGAAAGCCCGGUACAAGCGAGGUACCAGUAUGGUAGGAAAAACCGCCAUGCAAUGGGAAGACGUGAUGUGGAGUGAAAUAUAGAAACGAAGCCCGUGAGCCAUGCGUCAAGAAAAGCCGCUAUUGUUUAUAUUGUACCCGUACCGUAAACCGACACAGGUGGAUGAGGAGAGAAUCCUAAGGCCGGCGGAAGAAGUAUUGCCAAGGAACUCGGCAAAAUGGCCCCGUAACUUAGGGAGAAGGGGUGCCUGCGAGAGCAGGCCGCAGAGAAUAGGCUCAAGCAACUGUUUAGCAAAAACACAGGUCUAUGCGAAACCGAAAGGUGAGGUAUAUGGGCUGACGCCUGCCCGGUGCUGGAAGGUUAAGAGGAGAGGUUAGACGCAAGUCGAAGCUUUGAAUUUAAGCCCCAGUAAACGGCGGCCGUAACAAUAACGGUCCUAAGGUAGCGAAAUUCCUUGUCGGGUAAGUUCCGACCCGCACGAAAGGCGUAAUGAUUUGAGCGCUGUCUCGGCAAUACAUCCGGUGAAAUUGAAGUGCCAGUGAAGAUGCUGGCUACCCGCGCCAGGACGGAAAGACCCCAUGGAGCUUUACUCCAGUUUGGCACUGGGGUCCGGUGUUGCAUGUACAGGAUAGGUGGGAGGCUGAGAGAUAGUGACGUCAGUUGCUAUGGAGCCGCUGUUGGGAUACCACCCUUGUGAUAUUGGGCUUCUAACCAGCCGCCGUGAACCGGCGGUGGGACAAUGCCAGGCGGGGAGUUUGACUGGGGCGGUCGCCUCCGAAAGGGUAUCGGAGGCGCCCAAAGGUUCCCUCAGAAUGGACGGAAACCAUUCGAAGAGUGCAAAGGCAGAAGGGAGCUUGACUGCGACACCGACGGGUGGAGCAGGUACGAAAGUAGGGCUUAGUGAUCCGGUGGUAUUAAGUGGGAAUGCCAUCGCUCAACGGAUAAAAGCUACCCUGGGGAUAACAGGCUUAUCACUCCCAAGAGUUCACAUCGACGGAGUGGUUUGGCACCUCGAUGUCGGCUCAUCGCAUCCUGGGGCUGUAGUAGGUCCCAAGGGUUGGGCUGUUCGCCCAUUAAAGCGGUACGCGGGCUGGGUUCAGAACGUCGUGAGACAGUUCGGUCCCUAUCCGGCGUGGGCGUAGGAUAUCUGAGAGGAGCUGUCCUUAGUACGAGAGGACCGGGAUGGACGGACCGCUGGUGGACCGGUUGGCUUGCCAAAGCCAUGGCCGGGUAGCCAAGUCCGGAAGGGAUAAACGCUGAAGGCAUCUAAGCGUGAAGCCCCCCUCAAGAUGAGAUAUCCCAUUCUUUAAGAAGUAAACCCCCUUGAAGACGACGAGGUAGAUAGGGCAGAGGUGGAAGUGUGGUAACACAUGGAGCUGACUGUUACUAAUCGGGUGAGGGCUUGACCU
Molecule: ribosomal RNA, 1435 nt
Filed under: metagenome
Description: bacterial LSU rRNA
Rfam family: Bacterial large subunit ribosomal RNA
Source: RNAcentral